GGUCAGGUAGCCUAGUGGUUAAGGCAGCCCAUGCAUGUUGGGUCCAGAUCCAUUGGAUCUGGUUGCUGGUUCAAAUCCAGCCCCGACCA
This 89-nucleotide transfer RNA is filed under the name Cronartium ribicola 11-2. Its description in RNAcentral is "tRNA-Met (CAT) (tRNA-Met-CAT-9-1)". It matches the Rfam family "tRNA". Rfam says of the family: Transfer RNA (tRNA) molecules are approximately 80 nucleotides in length. Their secondary structure includes four short double-helical elements and three loops (D, anti-codon, and T loops). Further hydrogen bonds mediate the characteristic L-shaped molecular structure. tRNAs have two regions of fundamental functional importance: the anti-codon, which is responsible for specific mRNA codon recognition, and the 3' end, to which the tRNAs corresponding amino acid is attached (by aminoacyl-tRNA synthetases). tRNAs cope with the degeneracy of the genetic code in two manners: having more than one tRNA (with a specific anti-codon) for a particular amino acid; and 'wobble' base-pairing, i.e. permitting non-standard base-pairing at the 3rd anti-codon position. The record is from RNAcentral. Lineage: Eukaryota; Fungi; Basidiomycota; Pucciniomycetes; Pucciniales; Coleosporiaceae.